Molecule: ribosomal RNA, 253 nt
Filed under: uncultured bacterium
Lineage: Bacteria
Description: partial 16S ribosomal RNA
Rfam family: Bacterial small subunit ribosomal RNA
Source: RNAcentral
UACGAAGGGGGCUAGCGUUGCUCGGAUUGACUGGGCGUAAAGGGCGCGUAGGCGGUUCGUACAGUCAGACGUGAAAUUCCUGGGCUCAACCUGGGGGCUGCGUUUGAUACGUGCGGGCUUGAGUGCGGAAGAGGGUCGUGGAAUUCCCAGUGUAGAGGUGAAAUUCGUAGAUAUUGGGAAGAACACCGGUGGCGAAGGCGGCUCACUGGCUCAUUACUGACGCUCAGGCGCGACAGCGUGGGGAUCAAACAGG